UACGGAGGAUGCGAGCGUUAUCCGGAUUUAUUGGGUUUAAAGGGUGCGUAGGCGGACGCUUAAGUCAGCGGUAAAAUUGCGGGGCUCAACCUCGUCGAGCCGUUGAAACUGGGUGCCUUGAGUGGGCGAGAAGUACGCGGAAUGCGUGGUGUAGCGGUGAAAUGCAUAGAUAUCACGCAGAACCCCGAUUGCGAAGGCAGCGUACCGGCGCCCAACUGACGCUGAAGCACGAAGGCGUGGGUAUCGAACAGG
This 252-nucleotide ribosomal RNA is filed under the name uncultured bacterium. Its description in RNAcentral is "partial 16S ribosomal RNA". It matches the Rfam family "Bacterial small subunit ribosomal RNA", at positions 524 to 776 of the family's 1533-position model. The record is from RNAcentral.